CAAUACGGAGUGGCAGACGGGUGAGUAACACGUGGGAACGUGCCCUUUGGUUCGGAACAACACAGGGAAACUUGUGCUAAUACCGAAUAAGCCCUUACGGGGAAAGAUUUAUCGCCAAAGGAUCGGCCCGCGUCUGAUUAGCUAGUUGGUGGGGUAACGGCCCACCAAGGCUACGAUCAGUAGCUGGUCUGAGAGGAUGAUCAGCCACACUGGGACUGAGACACGGCCCAG
Molecule: ribosomal RNA, 231 nt
Filed under: uncultured bacterium
Lineage: Bacteria
Description: partial 16S ribosomal RNA
Rfam family: Bacterial small subunit ribosomal RNA
Source: RNAcentral